GCUCGCCGGUGUAAAAUAAACCUCCUGCCUUCCAAGAUCUCCGAGUGCCCCUUGGUUCUUCCGCCGGGUGAUCCAGGGCAGAUUCUGCAACAUCUGGUUCCCUGACUGGGAAACCCAACCGCGCUGGCCCGUUGUUGCCACCGGUUUGGAAAAGCGGCGAGGCAGUGUCGGAAUGAAGAAACACGAAGGAGAAAGUGCGCCCUGCCUGAAUUUCGACAGUCUCCAGCUCGGUGGCCUCGGGCCGGCCUGCUCCGCCGUUCCUGACGGACUUGAGGAGACUUGGCAAGUGAGGACCUGGAACUGACGUCGGAAACUGGACAUCCCAGAAGCUGCUUGUGGAGAUGGUCAGGAGGAGAACGAGAGAUGCCUGGGGUUUGGGGAGAGGUAGAAACCUCUCAGCUAAGUCUUCAUCUCCAGAGGCCUCUGGCAAUCAACUCGGUUCCUCUUCAGGGUCAUGAGGCAGAAGAUGUUCAUCAACCUGGCCAACAUUUGACUGUUAUUCGGCGGUGGACAGAGGCAGGAGACCGUGAACAUUCUCCAAACCGAAAUCCAGACAACCUCCAAGCCCACUGUGACCGGAAGUUCGCCCCAUUCCCCAGAUCCCCAUCCGGCUCCUUUAAGUCCAGCUUUCUUGAGCAUCCAAGGUUAAGCCAAGCGUCACCUUUGGAAUUGCUUAAAAUGAAAAUACUUCUGGAAGGGGUCAAGAGUUUGGUCUUAUCAGUCAUUUACAUCUUAGUGGAAAAGAGUGUAUUGGCUCUUCCCUCGGAGAGGAGGUUUGGUGGAGGGGGAGGCAGAUGGGCAGGAGAGCGCAGCGGCUGAAUGGCGGCUUGCAGCCAGUCUGGGCUCAGCUCACCACUCUGCAAGUCUCUUUCCCUCUCAGUCUGUUUCCUCCUGUGCAGCUUGGGCCCACUGAUUCUGGCCUCAUUAGGCUGAUGUAGAGAUCUGUGGUGCAUGCCAGCAGUACUGUCCUAAGACAGUCAACUGAGCUUGGCAAAUGGCAGCAAGGCCGCCAUUCCAUGGGGAAAUUCCCUCUACAAAGGGAUGCUGGAGGCCGAAGAUACACUAGGGCAGUGUUCGGCUUCUUAUUCCCAGACUCCUCCACCUUUCCUCUGGUUCCCGCCAGAGAUUUCCCUGCCUCCCUUGCAGUGGGCAAGUGGGGAUAUGCCCCUUCCAGACCUGGCCUUCCUGCAGCCCUCCAGCCUCUGCCUGGAGAUGCCCCAGGGGAUGGCGGACCCACGAGGGGCGGUGCCUGGGUUCCUGGGCGACUUCUGGAGCAGAGUGUCACCUCUUACCUACAUAAGGAGAAUGAGUCUUUAUCACAGUAAGCCCCUCCUGGGGGUUCCUGGUUACAGCAUUAACUUGCCCUGAUUGAUAAAACUCCUCUCUU
This is a long non-coding RNA of Hyaena hyaena (striped hyena), 1387 nucleotides long. RefSeq lists it as uncharacterized. The record is from RefSeq and is a predicted model, not a curated record. The transcript has 4 exons. NCBI's taxonomy places the organism in Eukaryota, Metazoa, Chordata, Mammalia, Carnivora, Hyaenidae.